Molecule: non-coding RNA, 205 nt
Organism: Paramuricea clavata
Lineage: Eukaryota; Metazoa; Cnidaria; Anthozoa; Malacalcyonacea; Plexauridae
Source: the annotation of a GenBank genome assembly
AUAUGUAUUAAUUUCAUAACUGGUAAUUAACCCUCUGUAUUUGUUUGUAAAAAUAUUUUAUCAAGGUAAAAUAUUGCGUUUUCAAAAUGUCAUUAUGCGAUGUGAUGUCACACCAGUGAUAUUUGCAUGUGAAACAAAGUUGAAUGUCUUGCAAAGGAAGCAAGUUACCAAAAUUCUAUAAACGAAAUUAUCAAGUCAUUUUAAG